GGAGUCGGGUUGUUUGGAAACGCAGCCCAAAUUGGCAAGUAAACUUUUGCUAAGGCUAAAUACGGCUACGAGACCGAUAGCAAACAAGUACUGUGAAGGAAAGUUGAAAAGCACUUUGAAAAGAGAGUGCAAGAGAACGUGAAACCGAUGUAGUGGAAGCGUAUGAAGCCGACGUAUCUAGUGCGUAUUCAACCAAGUAGUUGGUUGAGGCGGCGGUUGGAGUUCUGCAAAGUCUCCCUCUGCUGUUUUUCCUCUGAUUACUUGGCGCAUUUGCGUACAGAGUGCGCUGAAUCGGACGAGAGCGCUGUUCGAUCGGAGCAUAGAGGAUCGACUUCGGUCGAAACCCUGUGCAUUGUGAGGSCAGAUGWGCUUGUCCGCUCAAAUAGUUGCUGGUGAAUUCGUGGUGGCGACUUUGGAUUAGUCGGCUUGCGUAUGGCGCGUGCGUUCUGCGCUUGUUGGCGAAGUCUAGGGCCGUUGCUGCUCCGCAACCUAUUCGGCGUAUAGUCGGUCACUCAUAUGACCCGUCUUGAAACACGGACCAAGGAGUAUAAGGUGUACGCAAGUCAUUGAGUGUUGAAAUUCAAAGGCGCAAUGAAAGUGAGCCGUUUAACGGCUGUGAUGUGAACGGAGUGGGAUUCGUCCCGCCCGUGCAACAUCGCCCCAUGACUAGGCCUCGGUCUGUUGUGGCGGCUGAGCGUACGCUUUGUGACCCGAAAGAUGGUGAACUAUGCCUGAACAGGACGAAGUCAGAGGAAACUCUGAUGGAAGUCCGAAGCGGUUCUGACGUGCAAAUCGAU
This 797-nucleotide ribosomal RNA is filed under the name Robustodorus helicus. RNAcentral's name for it is "eukaryotic LSU rRNA". It matches the Rfam family "Eukaryotic large subunit ribosomal RNA", at positions 261 to 902 of the family's 3401-position model. Lineage: Eukaryota; Metazoa; Nematoda; Chromadorea; Rhabditida; Aphelenchoididae. The record is from RNAcentral.